Molecule: ribosomal RNA, 214 nt
Filed under: Microbacterium sp.
Lineage: Bacteria; Bacillati; Actinomycetota; Actinomycetes; Micrococcales; Microbacteriaceae
Description: partial 23S ribosomal RNA
Rfam family: Bacterial large subunit ribosomal RNA
Source: RNAcentral
GUUCGGGUUGUCACGCCAGUGGCAUUGCCCGGUAGCUAUGUUCGGAUAGGAUAACCGCUGAAAGCAUCUAAGCGGGAAGCCGGCCUCAAGAUGAGAUUUCCAUACCUUCGGGUGAGAGGCUCCCAGCCAGACUACUGGGUUGAUAGGCCAGAUGUGGAAGCGUGGUAACACGUGCAGCUGACUGGUACUAAUAAGCCGAUGACUUGAUAACACA